GACGAACGCUGGCGGCGUGCUUAACACAUGCAAGUCGAACGGAAAGGCCCUGCUUUUGUGGGGUGCUCGAGUGGCGAACGGGUGAGUAGCACGUGAGUAACCUGCCCUUGACUUUGGGAUAACUUCAGGAAACUGGGGCUAAUACCGGAUAGGAGCUCCUGCUGCAUGGUGGGGGUUGGAAAGUUUCGGCGGUUGGGGAUGGACUCGCGGCUUAUCAGCUUGUUGGUGGGGUAGUGGCUUACGAAGGGUUUGACGGGUAGCCGGCCUGAGAGGGUGACCGGCCACAUUGGGACUGCGAUACGGCCCAGACUCCUACGGGAGGCAGCAGUGGGGAAUAUUGCACAAUGGGCGGAAGCCUGAUGCAGCAACGCCGCGUGCGGGAUGACGGCCUUCGGGUUGUAAACCGCUUUCGCCUGUGACGAAGCGUGAGUGACGGUAAUGGGUAAAGAAGCACCGGCUAACUACGUG
RNAcentral lists this ribosomal RNA (468 nucleotides) under uncultured bacterium. RNAcentral's name for it is "partial 16S ribosomal RNA". It matches the Rfam family "Bacterial small subunit ribosomal RNA", at positions 28 to 507 of the family's 1533-position model. The record is from RNAcentral.